Molecule: ribosomal RNA, 254 nt
Filed under: uncultured bacterium
Lineage: Bacteria
Description: partial 16S ribosomal RNA
Rfam family: Bacterial small subunit ribosomal RNA
Source: RNAcentral
UACGUAGGGUGCGAGCGUUGUCUGGAAUUAUUGGGCGUAAAGAGCUCGUAGGCGGUGUGUCACGUCGGCCGUGAAAACCUGGGGCUUAACUCUGGGCGUGCGGUCGAUACGGGCAUCACUAGAGUUCGGCAGGGGAGACUGGAAUUCCUGGUGUAGCGGUGAAAUGCGCAGAUAUCAGGAGGAACACCGGUGGCGAAGGCGGGUCUCUGGGCCGAUACUGACGCUGAGGAGCGAAAGCAUGGGUAGCGAACAGG